CCAAGUUAUAAAAGCGCAGGUGCAUGUAAACUCUUUGCAUUUGGUGUCGUUUGUCCCAGGGCUGAGCCAGGGCGCCUGCUGAAUCGUGGCCUGCGACCGCCUGGCAUUAGGGAAUGCCGCCGGCAGCAGGCCCGCGACCCGAUGUGCGACCACCACCGUGGGUCUCCUCACGGCUGGAUGAUCACUUCACUGGCAUCGCACCGCUGUCGUUGCUCCCCAGCGAGAAACGAUCACGUAGUGCCUAGUUAGAAGCUUAGUUAAGACUUUUAUAAACAUGUAACAAUAUUAAGUGGCACAUCCAUCCAGCUAAGACGAAAAUAUCACUAUAAACUAUAUACACUUUCGCGAUAAUAGACUAAGAUAUAUUUAACAUACAUUAAGGCUUUUUUUUAUUACUAGUUAAACGUAUUCCGAUGUAAGUUUAAGACACAUUUAGAUUUAGUAUAAAAUUAAUAUAUUUUAGUUGUGUGA
Molecule: long non-coding RNA, 471 nt
Organism: Pieris rapae (cabbage white)
Lineage: Eukaryota; Metazoa; Arthropoda; Insecta; Lepidoptera; Pieridae
Exons: 4
Source: RefSeq, a predicted model, not a curated record